GUGACUGCGUACCUUUUGUAUAAUGGGUCAGCGACUUAUAUUCUGUAGCAAGGUUAACCGUAUAGGGGAGCCGUAGGGAAACCGAGUCUUAACCGGGCGUUAAGUUGCAGGGUAUAGACCCGAAACCCGGUGAUCUAGCCAUGGGCAGGUUGAAGGUUGGGUAACACUAACUGGAGGACCGAACCGACUAAUGUUGAAAAAUUAGCGGAUGACCUGUGGCUGGGGGUGAAAGGCCAAUCAAACCGGGAGAUAGCUGGUUCUCCCCGAAAGCUAUUUAGGUAGCGCCUCGUGAAUUCAUCUCCGGGGGUAGAGCACUGUUUCGGCUAGGGGGCCAUCCCGGCUUACCAACCCGAUGCAAACUGCGAAUACCGGAGAAUGUUAUCACGGGAGACACACGGCGGGUGCUAACGUCCGUCGUGAAGAGGGAAACAACCCAGACCGCCAGCUAAGGUCCCAAAGUCAUGGUUAAGUGGGAAACGAUGUGGGAAGGCCCAGACAGCCAGGAUGUUGGCUUAGAAGCAGCCAUCAUUUAAAGAAAGCGUAAUAGCUCACUGGUCGAGUCGGCCUGCGCGGAAGAUGUAACGGGGCUAAACCAUGCACCGAAGCUGCGGCAGCGAA
This 618-nucleotide ribosomal RNA is filed under the name Salmonella enterica subsp. enterica serovar Typhimurium. RNAcentral's name for it is "bacterial LSU rRNA". It matches the Rfam family "Bacterial large subunit ribosomal RNA", at positions 593 to 1212 of the family's 2925-position model. Lineage: Bacteria; Pseudomonadati; Pseudomonadota; Gammaproteobacteria; Enterobacterales; Enterobacteriaceae. The record is from RNAcentral.